RNAcentral lists this ribosomal RNA (497 nucleotides) under uncultured bacterium. Its description in RNAcentral is "partial 16S ribosomal RNA". It matches the Rfam family "Bacterial small subunit ribosomal RNA", at positions 28 to 507 of the family's 1533-position model. The record is from RNAcentral.
GAUGAACGCUGGCGGCGUGCCUAAUACAUGCAAGUCGAGCGAACAGAUGAGGAGCUUGCUCCUCUGACGUUAGCGGCGGACGGGUGAGUAACACGUGGAUAACCUACCUAUAAGACUGGGAUAACUUCGGGAAACCGGAGCUAAUACCGGAUAAUAUAUUGAACCGCAUGGUUCAAUAGUGAAAGACGGUUUUGCUGUCACUUAUAGAUGGAUCCGCGCCGCAUUAGCUAGUUGGUAAGGUAACGGCUUACCAAGGCAACGAUGCGUAGCCGACCUGAGAGGGUGAUCGGACACACUGGAAGUGAGACACGGUCCAGACUCCUACGGGAGGCAGCAGUAGGGAAUCUUACGCAAUGGGCGAAAGCCUGACGUAGCAACGCCGCGUGAGUGAUGAAGGUCUUCGGAUCGUAAAACUCUGUUAGUAGGGAAGAACAAAUGUGUAAGUAACUAUGCACGUAUUGACGGUACCUAAUCAGAAAGCCACGGCUAACUACGUG